This 370-nucleotide ribosomal RNA is filed under the name Cucumispora sp. RNAcentral describes it as "SSU rRNA". It matches the Rfam family "Microsporidia small subunit ribosomal RNA", at positions 81 to 398 of the family's 1311-position model. Lineage: Eukaryota; Fungi; Microsporidia. The record is from RNAcentral.
GGACUGCUCAGUAACAGGCGAUUAAUUUAAUCUUUACAAACGGACAAACUCAGGAAACGGAGUGUAAUACGUAAAAGAUGAUUUUUUAUUUAAAAAAGAAAACAUUUUUAGCUUGAAUAAAGCGGUAAAGAAUAAGACGCCAACCCAUCAGUUAGUAAGUAGGGUAAGGGCCUAUUUAGACGAAUACGGGUACGGGGAAUUAGGGUUUGAUUCCGGAGAGGGAGCCUGAGAGACGGCUACCAGGUCCAAGGACGGCAGCAGGCGCGAAAAUUACCGAAGCUCAAAUAGAGGCGGUAGUAAUGAGACGUAUAAAUAAUAAUAUAAGGGUAAAAAACUUAUUAAUAACUGGAGGUCAAGUCUGGUGCCAGCA